Long non-coding RNA from Malaclemys terrapin pileata, 3634 nucleotides. RefSeq lists it as uncharacterized. The transcript is spliced from 3 exons. Lineage: Eukaryota; Metazoa; Chordata; Testudines; Emydidae. The record is from RefSeq and is a predicted model, not a curated record.
CUGGGCAGAGCAGCCUUAUUUCUUCCACGGCAGGACAUUUUCCUCCAUCACUCAGCAAUAACUUCAGCAGGCACCCUUGCAGUGCACAGGCUAGCAGCAUAUGGGCCCAGGCGGCUUUGGACACCAGCAGCAGCUCUGCUCUGUGUGCCUUUGUUAGCCUCAGGAGUGAAAGAUCCGCUAAAAUCCCCACAACCUGUGUGGUGCCAAGAUUCAGUGCCAAUGCCCUGUACUGCUAGAUCUAGAGAAAACUUAGUCCUGACUUGAGUGCAGGGGACUGGACUAGACAACCUCUCGAGGUCCCUUCCAGUCCUACGAUUCUAUGAUUCUAUGAUUCAUUCCAGCGAGCAAUUCCCCAUUUCUCCCGCGCCCGAGGGCCACACUCACCAGGGCUGCACUGUGACCGUGCACAAGCCACUCCCAAGCAGAAGGGAGAAUGUCAAGUUCACCAAGUUAAGGGUGCAGGCAAGUGAAUUCAGCAUCUUAACUUUUGCUUUCUCCAGUGAACAGACUGACAAUGGUACCUGUGUGUUUACUGUUUUACCUGCGGCUGCUGCCACUGCGGCCUGCAGGGUCUCUCCCUCCGCACCCACAGAAUGCCUGUGCCAGAUGAGAAGAAAGAAGAGGAUUCAGGAUGGCAUAUUCCAGAAGAUCCUGCAAGCCAGGGCUGCAUCACACUGUGAGCACAGGGCCUGGAGGGUGAACACUGCAGACAGCCUGGAGAAGGAAAGAGAGGCCCAGGAGUCCAAGCAGAAAAAGGACAGGGCGAUGCACCAGGAUAUAAUGAAUCAUAGAAUAUCAGGGUUGGAAGGGACCUCAGGAGGUCAUCUAGUACAACCCCCUGCUCAAAGCAGGAUCAAAACAAACUGAAUCAUCCCAACCAGGGCUUUGUCAAUCCUGACCUUAAAAACCUCAUCAGGCAGCAAAUACAGACACUGCAGUCUCUGGUGGACCUGCAGGUUCAACAAUCCCGGGCUCACCUCCCUCUGCAUCCCACUGAGAACUCAAUAUCAGGACCUUCCUACACCCCCCUCAACAUCCCACGUGGCAUCAGGAGUCAGUGCAGUACCCCUCCACUCCACCCCAGUCGACAGUAAAGACAAUCAGCUUCACAUACACAGACCUGGGGAAGCCAGGGCUGGUGUAUGUGUAGCUGAAAUGGAUGGCUCUUUCCCCUUUCUAAGUUUUGGUCUCUUAAUUUAUUAAGUUUUUAAUGUAUUUGUUUUAACAUUGCACAGAGGUUUUGUUUUUUGCACUGAUUUUGUUACAGAAUAAAUUUCUAUUAUUUGGAGCAUAAUUUACCUUUAUUAGUUCACAACACAUGCUGCCUAGCGCUCAGCAGUUCUGAAAGGACCCAAUGACCUGUUACUGCCCAGAGUCACAUGACUCAUAACAUCAUUCACAAACACAAUGAAUAGGUGCAUUGACAGUGUUAUAUCCCUACAUCUACUGCAACCACCACCUCAUUCCUACCAGGCCACAAAAGAAUAAGGCCAGGCAGAGCACACUGCAGCAACACACACUGUUCUGGCUCACUGUUAAAAUGGUCUGUCAAAGCCUCCCUGAGCCUUAUAGCUCUGUGCUGAGCUCUUGUAAUAGUCCUUUUGUCUGGUGGUUCAAACUCAGCAGACAAACGCUCCACCUCCACCCUGCAGCCCAAGGGGAAACUUUUCCCCCUUUGCCUCACAGAGAUGAUGCAGGACAGAGCAGGCAGCUACAACCAUUGGAAUAUUUUUCUCACUGAGGGCCAAUCUUGUAAGUAAACACCACCACGAGCCUUCAGUCAACCAAAGGCACAUUCAACUGUCAUUCUACACCUGCUGAGCCUGUAGUUGAAGUGCUUCUUGGUGCCUCAAGGUGGCUGGCGUACAGCUUUGUGAGCGAUGGGAGCAAGGGGUAGGCUGGGUCUCGCAGAAUGAUUGCUGGCAUUGCAAUAUCACCAAUAGUAAUCUGCCAUUCAGGAAGGAAAGUCCUGUUUGCAGCCUUCUGAACAGUCCUGUGUUCUUAAAGAUGUGAGUCUCAUGCACCUUCCCUAAUCAACCAACACUGAUGUUGGUGAAGCAUCCCCGAUGAUCCACCAGCACUUGCAUGACCAUAGAAAAGUAGCCCUCUCUGUUGAUUCACUCCGUGGCAUGGAAGUCUGUGUCAAAGUAGGGAUAUGGAUGCCAUCUAUUGCCCCACCGCAGUUUGAGAACCCCAUUGCUGCAAAACCCUCCACUAAGUCCUGCACAUUGCCGAGUGUCACAGGCCUGCACAGCAGGAGGCAGUUAGUGGCCCUGCAUGCUUUCAUCACAACAACCCCUAUGGUGGAUUUCCCGACUGACCAGUAGCAGUGGCUGGGAGCUGUAAGGGGAACCAUAUUUCCCAAAGAGAAAAUGGGAUUCCCCCAGCCACUGACCCGAACCCCUUUCCCCUCCCCUGCUCCCCACGAGGCUGUUGCCUGUCGCUGGAACCUUGCGGGGCCCCCGGGACUGAAGCAGAAAAUGUCAAAGUUGUCUCUGGAAGUCAUGGAUUCCGUGACUUCCAUGAUAUAAACGUAGCCUUAAUUAUCAUGUUCCCCACUCAUUUGGGUUUUUCUUGCAGCUCUGCAAAUACUCCAGGAUCAUGUGUCCUGUGCUUGCAGCGCUCAUGACAAUAGUGCAGAGCUGUGCAGGCUCCAGACUUCUGUCAGAGAUGGUGGACAGCAAGGAGGGACACAGGUAUCAUAGUUUUGAGAAUGCUUGGUGAAGAUCUUGUAGGUGUUGGUCUCUGUCUGAGGGGUUGGAGCAAAUGCGGUUAUACCUCAGCGCUUGGCUGUAGAUGAUGGAUCGUGUGGUGUGUCCAGGAUGGAAGCUGGAGGCAUGAAGGAACUUUUCUACAAACGAAGCUCUGAACGAAGGACUGAAUGAGCCAUCCCAGCUGUGGACGUGUUCCAGAGGGACUUUCAAGCCAGCAAACUCAGCAAUACAGCUAAGAACAUGAUAUAUGGACUUUGAAGUCUCGGUAUGUAUCUGACUGCUUCACCACUUAACAACUCUCUUCUUGUUCUUUCUUUUUUCUUUAUAAUAAUCUUUAAUUUUAGAUACUAAAGGAUUGAUUAGCAGCAUGGUAUUUUGGGUAAGUUCCAAACGAAUAUUGACCUGGUAACAUGGCUGGCCCUUUGGGGUCAGAAUAUUUUGUAUAUGUGAGCAGAGCUUUUAAACAACUUCUCGCUGUACUGGACCUAGGUCCUGACUGGGGGCCAGAGAACUGGAAUGUAAUAAAGGCAGCUGUGUGAUUCAGUGUUAACCAUCUGUUUUGGGAGUAUCUGCUCUGCCUUUUGCAGUCUGCCCUGACCUUGACAUUUUCAGUGAGGGCUGCCCUGGCACCCCGGGUCACAUAAGGAUAGGUGCCUUACACCCUGAGCCCUUGGAAGGAAAAGGGUGGGGGUGCAUAAAUUGACUGGUUCAUGCCUUGAACCCUCCAUAGGGUAUAGGCAGGGUGCUCUAGAUUGUGCAGGUAACACUGCCUUCCUCUCAUUCACCCUCAUGAGCCUCCCCCACAGCUCUCCUGAAACCUGGCCUUGUCCUCUCUAUGGACAAUGGCCCUUCAGCUCCAGCUCCCCUCUUCUAAGAGCUGAGGGAAGGCUGGGUUGGGCACAGGCAGCCCCCAAACUGGG